CCGAGUCUAAAAACUCCCUAAACCAUUGUGAACAUUACUUACUUCGUUGCUUCGGUGGAUCAGCCCGCUCUAGGGUCCUUGUCCAAGGGACGGCCCGCCAGAGGUACCCUUAACUCUUGCUUUUUAUAUGUCACAUCUGAGUUAUUAACCAUAAAUAAUCA
RNAcentral lists this unclassified non-coding RNA (161 nucleotides) under soil metagenome. RNAcentral's name for it is "partial internal transcribed spacer 1". The record is from RNAcentral.